AGUCGUGGCCGGAGCUCGGCGGUUGGCUUUGAUCUUUCGUUACCAGGGCGGGCCGGGGCUAGACACCGGGUCGCUGGGCGGCUCUUGACCACCUCACACCUGGUCAUUGGAGUGCAUUUUACGAUUGGAUCCCUGAGAACCAACUUUCGGUGGUUCGUGAUCCCCGUGCUACUCUAGACGGGCUUCUAGAACCUCUUCUUCAGUGACUCGCACAGACGGUUAGGUACUAUCUGGAAAGUUUUUUUUAGGCUGUGGAGUUAUCCUCAAGGUGCUGCAGAGGCCAGAAGAGGGUGUUGAAUCUCUAAGCGGCAAGUACAGGCAGCUGUGAGCCUCCUGGUGUGAGUGCCGAGAACCAACCUCAGAUCCUCUGCAACAGCAGCAGCAGCGAGUGAUCCCACUCUGCAGCCAACCUUCUGCUCCAGAAGUUUGUGCCAUUUAUUAGAAAAUAACUCAAGUUUCUGAAGAACGUUUUUGUUUGUUCGGUUGGUUGGUUUUUGGUUUAGUUUUUAAUACAGAGUUUCCCCAUGUAGUCCUGGCUAUCCUGGAACUCAUUCUGUAGACCAGGCUGGCCUCAAACUCACAAGUCCACUCGCCUCUGCUUCCCAAGUUCUGAAGCUAAAAGUAUACGGCUCUGAAGAACAUUUAUUAAUGUACUGUUUUAAGAAAUUAGAUCACUUAGCUUGAAGGCGUGUUUUGGUUUGGUUUUUUUAAAGGAGGUUGCAUUAUAUAGCCCAGGUUAGCCUUGAAUUGAGGAUCCUCCAAGUUCUCUCUGCUUCCAAUUACAAAUCCUCUGGGGAUUACAGAUACGCCAUCUGUACUUGCCUAUUUUAUCAAUAAAAACUAGAAAUACUUAGUGUA
Molecule: long non-coding RNA, 858 nt
Organism: Meriones unguiculatus (Mongolian gerbil)
Lineage: Eukaryota; Metazoa; Chordata; Mammalia; Rodentia; Muridae
Exons: 2
Source: RefSeq, a predicted model, not a curated record